Molecule: transfer RNA, 78 nt
Filed under: Gammaproteobacteria bacterium
Lineage: Bacteria; Pseudomonadati; Pseudomonadota; Gammaproteobacteria
Description: tRNA-Ile
Rfam family: tRNA
About the family: Transfer RNA (tRNA) molecules are approximately 80 nucleotides in length. Their secondary structure includes four short double-helical elements and three loops (D, anti-codon, and T loops).
Source: RNAcentral
GGGUCUGUAGCUCAGCUUGGUUAGAGCGCACCCCUGAUAAGGGUGAGGUCGGUAGUUCGAGUCUACCCAGACCCACCA